RNAcentral lists this microRNA precursor (48 nucleotides) under Pteropus alecto (black flying fox). RNAcentral describes it as "microRNA pal-mir-10014 precursor". The record is from miRBase by way of RNAcentral. Lineage: Eukaryota; Metazoa; Chordata; Mammalia; Chiroptera; Pteropodidae.
UGGAGUGUGACAAUGGAAACGCGAGCUUUGGUUAACACAGACUCGGGA